CCUACGGGUGACAGCAGUGAGGAAUAUUGGUCAAUGGGCGAGAGCCUGAACCAGCAAAGCCGCGUGAGGGAUGAAGGUACUGUGGUUUGUAAACUUCUUUUGUAUGGGAAUAAAGAGUGGAACGUGUCCCUGUUUGUAUGUACCUUAUGAAUAAGCAUCGGCUAACUCCGUGCCAGCAGCCGCGGUAAUACGGAGGAUGCGAGCGUUAUCCGGAUUUAUUGGGUUUAAAGGGUGCGUAGGUGGUUAAUUAAGUCAGCGGUGAAAGUUUGGGGCUCAACCAUAGAAUGGCCGUUGAAACUGGUAGACUUGAGUAUAUUUGAGGUAGGCGGAAUGCGUGGUGUAGCGGUGAAAUGCAUAGAGAUCGCGCAGAACUCCGAUUGCGAAGGCAGCUUACU
RNAcentral lists this ribosomal RNA (395 nucleotides) under uncultured bacterium. RNAcentral's name for it is "partial 16S ribosomal RNA". It matches the Rfam family "Bacterial small subunit ribosomal RNA", at positions 338 to 730 of the family's 1533-position model. The record is from RNAcentral.